GGAAUCUUGGACAAUGGGGGAAACCCUGAUCCAGCAAUGCCGCGUGUGGGAUGAAGGCCCUCGGGUUGUAAACCACUUUUGGCAGGAGAGAAAUCGCCUGUGCUAAUACCACGGGCGGAUGACGGUACCUGCAGAAUAAGCACCGGCUAACUACGUGCCAGCAGCCGCGGUAAUACGUAGGGUGCGAGCGUUAAUCGGAAUUACUGGGCGUAAAGAGUGCGUAGGCGGUUUUGUAAGACGGAUGUGAAAUCCCCGGGCUUAACCUGGGAACUGCAUUUGUGACUGCAAGACUAGAGUGUGUCAGAGGGAGGUGGAAUUCCGCGUGUAGCAGUGAAAUGCGUAGAGAUGCGGAAGAACACCGAUGGCGAAGGCAGCCUCCUGGGAUAACACUGACGCUCAGGCACGAAAGCGUGGGGAGCAAACAGGAUUAGAUACCCUGGUAGUCCACGCCCUAAACGAUGUCAACUGGUUGUUGGGGAUUCAUUUCCUUAGUAACGUAGCUAACGCGUGAAGUUGACCGCCUGGGGAGUACGGCCGCAAGGUUAAA
RNAcentral lists this ribosomal RNA (547 nucleotides) under uncultured bacterium. RNAcentral describes it as "bacterial SSU rRNA". It matches the Rfam family "Bacterial small subunit ribosomal RNA", at positions 358 to 898 of the family's 1533-position model. The record is from RNAcentral.